Molecule: long non-coding RNA, 1733 nt
Filed under: Homo sapiens (human)
Lineage: Eukaryota; Metazoa; Chordata; Mammalia; Primates; Hominidae
Description: HSALNT0010127
Source: RNAcentral
AUAAAAAAAUAAAUAAAUAAAUAAAUAAAUAAAUAAUUGUCUAUUUUAAUACUAAAAAGGAAAGAAAGAAGGAAGGAAGAAAAAAGAAUGAGAGAAAUAGAGAAAGAGGAAAAGAAAGAAAGUAAUGAAGGAAGGAAGAGAUAGAGAAAGAAAGAAGAAAGAAAGAAAGAAAAGAAGGAGGGUGGGAGGAAGAGAGGAAGGAAGGAAGGAAGGAAAGAAGAAAAAUAGGAAGAAGAGGGAAAAAAGGGCCUGAAAGAUGUGUUUAUAGUAGCACCACUGGGGGCAGUGGAAUGAAAUUGAGCAAAAUGUAAUGCAAGCUGGUUUUCCAGAAGAAAAAUCUUAAUAACCAGAUCCAUUGGUCUAUGGAUGGAGCCAUUGGAGGAAAAGUGAUAAGUUCCAACAUUUGAGACAUUUUAUGCUGAAAAUAUCUAGUAUCUGAAACAAACUGGGUGAAGGGAAAAAUGUUCUGUUGGCCAAGGAUUUCUGGGAUCCUACAGAUCUUUCCUCUAAUUUUUGGAUGCCACUAAAUUUUGUGAUUCAUAUCCAGAAAGCCCAGCUCUGAUAGGCCAGAAAUAUUAGAACCAAAUACAAAUAGUUUGCCACACAUCUUCUCCUUCCAUAGGUUUAGAGCUUUGAUUCUGUUUUGCUUCAGAAGCAGUUCAGGUCAUAGUCAAUGGACACAAAGAAGAUGCAUCUUCAAACCAGGAUAUGAUUGGGAAGACUAAAGACUUGCAAUUCUCCAGAGAACACUUAAGAUCAAUCCUCUUAGCAAUUCUCAAGUGUAUAAUACAGCAUCGUUAAUGGUAAUCACUGCACUAUGUAUUAGAUCUCCAGAGCUCAUUCAUCUUGUGUAACUGAAACUUGGGACUCUUUGAUCAACAACUUCCCAUUUCCUGCCAUCCCACUCCAUCCCCAUCCCUGGCAACCACAACUCUACUCUCUGCUUCUGUGAGUUUGCCUAUGUUGGAUUCUACAUGCAGAAGAUUGCAACCUCCCAUUAUGAAACAGCAUCAUAAAAUGCAGAGCACAGCUACCCUGACUAAAACCACCUUUCUCCUCUGCUGAUACAGACAAACUAGCAGUAAAUGCUUUUUGAGCUCCCGGCGUGCAGAUAAAUUCCUACGGACAUCCCCAAUUGGACUGAAAGAUUGAGACACACAAGGGAGAGAAUAGCUGAGGCCAGGAGAAUUUAACAUGGCAAUUAGCAACCCUUCAACUUUGCCAGACCCCACAGCACAAGACAGGAUGGAGGUAACCAAAAAUCUCUCCAGAAGAGUAGUUGAUAAAUUGAUUGGGUCCCAGGGGUUGCUGGACACAGUUAUUAUCCAAUUGCAGGCCUGGAUGGUGUGCAAGUCUAUGUAGUGAAGUCAGAAAAUGAAACAGGGCUUUAAAUUCCCAAGGGGAGCUCCUUUGCUUAUGUAUCCAUUGCUGCACCCUUUCCCCUCAUUUUGGAAGACUCUGAAUCACAUCACAUAGUGUGUAUUAUCUUCUCUAACUGAACAAACAAGUUCUAAAACAUAAAAUAUAUAAAACAACUGUAACCAUUAUCAUCAAUGAUUCUGUUCUUAAGAAGUUAGAAAAGUAAAAUAUAAAAUUAAAAUUGAAAAUAUUUAAAGACUUCCAGAAUUUUUUUUUUUUUUAAAGCAGAGGGAGGGUGUGUGGGGGAAGAGGAAUUUUAAUCCUCUUUCUGUAUCAAUUCUGAUGGCUGCUUUUAAGAAUUAUUUUAACCAUCA